RNAcentral lists this ribosomal RNA (492 nucleotides) under uncultured bacterium. RNAcentral's name for it is "partial 16S ribosomal RNA". It matches the Rfam family "Bacterial small subunit ribosomal RNA", at positions 29 to 507 of the family's 1533-position model. The record is from RNAcentral.
AGUGAACGCUGGCGGUAGGCCUAACACAUGCAAGUCGAACGGCAGCACAGUAAGAGCUUGCUCUUACGGGUGGCGAGUGGCGGACGGGUGAGGAAUACAUCGGAAUCUACUUUUUCGUGGGGGAUAACGUAGGGAAACUUACGCUAAUACCGCAUACGACCUACGGGUGAAAGCAGGGGAUCUUCGGACCUUGCGCGAUUGAAUGAGCCGAUGUCGGAUUAGCUAGUUGGCGGGGUAAAGGCCCACCAAGGCGACGAUCCGUAGCUGGUCUGAGAGGAUGAUCAGCCACACUGGAUCUGAGACACGGUCCAGACUCCUACGGGAGGCAGCAGUGGGGAAUAUUGGACAAUGGGCGCAAGCCUGAUCCAGCCAUACUGCGUGGGUGAAGAAGGCCUUCGGGUUGUAAAGCCCUUUUGUUGGGAAAGAAAAGCAGCAGGUUAAUACCCCGCUGUUCUGACGGUACCCAAAGAAUAAGCACCGGCUAACUUCGUG